Molecule: ribosomal RNA, 251 nt
Filed under: uncultured Acidovorax sp.
Lineage: Bacteria; Pseudomonadati; Pseudomonadota; Betaproteobacteria; Burkholderiales; Comamonadaceae
Description: partial 16S ribosomal RNA
Rfam family: Bacterial small subunit ribosomal RNA
Source: RNAcentral
UUGGGCACUCUAAUGAGACUGCCGGUGACAAACCGGAGGAAGUGGGGAUGACGUCAAGUCCUCAUGGCCCUUAUAGGUGGGGCUACACACGUCAUACAAUGGAUGGUACAAAGGGUCGCCAACCCGCGAGGGGGAGCCAAUCCCAUAAAGCCAUUCGUAGUCCGGAUCGCAGUCUGCAACUCGACUGCGUGAAGUCGGAAUCGCUAGUAAUCGUGGAUCAGAAUGUCACGGUGAAUACGUUCCCGGGUCUU